RNAcentral lists this ribosomal RNA (817 nucleotides) under uncultured bacterium. RNAcentral's name for it is "bacterial SSU rRNA". It matches the Rfam family "Bacterial small subunit ribosomal RNA", at positions 83 to 932 of the family's 1533-position model. The record is from RNAcentral.
CUGCAAGGGCCAGUGGCGGACGGGUUAGUAAUACGAUCGAACGUACCCCGAGGUGGAGGAUAGCGGCGGGAAACUGCCGGUAAUACUUCAUGAUCUCCCCGGAGCAAAGUCGCAAGACGCCUUGGGAUCGGCGAUCGGCCUAUCAGCUAGUUGGUGAGGUAAGAGCUCACCAAGGCGAUGACGGGUAGCGGGUGUGAGAGCACGACCCGCAACAUCGGGACUGAGACACUGCCCGGACUCCUACGGGAGGCUGCAGCGACGAAUCUUCCGCAAUGGGCGAAAGCCUGACGGAGCGACGCCGCGUGUGGGAUGAAGCGUCUUCGACGUGUAAACCACUGUCAGAGGACAGAAACACUGAUCGUCCUCAGAGGAAGGGGCGACUAACUCUGUGCCAGCAGUCGCGGUAAGACAGAGGCCCCGAGCGCUAAUCGGAAUUACUGGGCUUAAAGGGUGCGUAGGCGGACCAGCAAGCGUCUUGUGAAAGCCCCCGGCUCAACCGGGGAACAGCGGGGCGAACUGCGGGUCUUGAGGCAGGUAUGGGUCGCCGGAACAGUAGGUGGAGCGGUGAAAUGCGUAGAUAUCUACUGGAACGCCGAUGGUGAAGACGGGCGACUGGGCCUGUCCUGACGCUGAGGCACGAAAGCGUGGGGAGCAAACAGGAUUAGAUACCCUGGUAGUCCACGCCGUAAACAAUGCGCGCUAGAUCGGGGCGGCUCUGACGCCGGCUCGGUCGAAGCAAAAGCGAUAAGCGCGCCGCCUGGGGAGUACGGUCGCAAGGCUAAAACUCAAAGGAAUUGACGGGGGCUCGCACAAGCGG